This 656-nucleotide ribosomal RNA is filed under the name uncultured bacterium. Its description in RNAcentral is "bacterial SSU rRNA". It matches the Rfam family "Bacterial small subunit ribosomal RNA", at positions 501 to 1155 of the family's 1533-position model. The record is from RNAcentral.
GAUUGUGCCAGCCGCCGCGCGGUAAUACAGAGGGUGCGAGCGUUAAUCGGAUUUACUGGGCGUAAAGCGUGCGUAGGCGGCUUAUUAAGUCGGAUGUGAAAUCCCCGAGCUUAACUUGGGAAUUGCAUUCGAUACUGGUGAGCUAGAGUAUGGGAGAGGAUGGUAGAAUUCCAGGUGUAGCGGUGAAAUGCGUAGAGAUCUGGAGGAAUACCGAUGGCGAAGGCAGCCAUCUGGCCUAAUACUGACGCUGAGGUACGAAAGCAUGGGGAGCAAACAGGAUUAGAUACCCUGGUAGUCCAUGCCGUAAACGAUGUCUACUAGCCGUUGGGGCCUUUGAGGCUUUAGUGGCGCAGCUAACGCGAUAAGUAGACCGCCUGGGGAGUACGGUCGCAAGACUAAAACUCAAAUGAAUUGACGGGGGCCCGCACAAGCGGUGGAGCAUGUGGUUUAAUUCGAUGCAACGCGAAGAACCUUACCUGGCCUUGACAUACUAGAAACUUUCCAGAGAUGGAUUGGUGCCUUCGGGAAUCUAGAUACAGGUGCUGCAUGGCUGUCGUCAGCUCGUGUCGUGAGAUGUUGGGUUAAGUCCCGCAACGAGCGCAACCCUUUUCCUUACUUGCCAGCAUUUCGGAUGGGAACUUUAAGGAUACUGAAUC